This 433-nucleotide ribosomal RNA is filed under the name uncultured bacterium. RNAcentral's name for it is "partial 16S ribosomal RNA". It matches the Rfam family "Bacterial small subunit ribosomal RNA", at positions 29 to 507 of the family's 1533-position model. The record is from RNAcentral.
AACGAACGCUGGCGGCAUGCCUAACACAUGCAAGUCGAACGAGACCUUCGGGUCUAGUGGCGCACGGGUGCGUAACGCGUGGGAACCUGCCCUUAGGUUCGGAAUAACUCCCCGAAAGGGGUGCUAAUACCGGAUAAUGUCUUCGGACCAAAGAUUUAUCGCCUUUGGAUGGGCCCGCGUUGGAUUAGCUAGUUGGUAGGGUAAAAGCCUACCAAGGCGACGAUCCAUAGCUGGUCUGAGAGGAUGAUCAGCCACACUGGGACUGAGACACGGCCCAGACUCCUACGGGAGGCAGCAGUGGGGAAUAUUGGACAAUGGGCGAAAGCCUGAUCCAGCAAUGCCGGGUGAGUGAUGAAGGCCUUAGGGUUGUAAAGCUCUUUUAACCGGGAUGAUAAUGACAGUACCGGGAGAAUAAGCUCCGGCUAACUCCGUG